Taeniopygia guttata (zebra finch) is the source of this 3999-nucleotide non-coding RNA. Lineage: Eukaryota; Metazoa; Chordata; Aves; Passeriformes; Estrildidae. The record is from RefSeq and is a predicted model, not a curated record.
ACACUUUCCUAUUGAGAUUCUGACCUUUUCCUCAUCAGAGCUCAUUAGAGUUGGUACAUCCACUAAGAAGGACAACCUACUGCCCAGCAACCUCAGGUAAUGAUUACCAACCCAUCUUUUACAUCUAUCAGAAGUAACAUUUUUAACAGUUCGUGUGUUGUUGUUCCAUUUCCUAAGCUUUUCCCACACUUAGAGAUACACAAGUACUGUGUUUCAUGCUUGGUUGAUUAUGAAGCCAGAUCUUUUGUCUCCUCUGAGGGUUUUUUUGGUGCUUCUCCAGUGCAGAUGAGCCAGGAACCUUCCACAAACAUGUGCUAGAGGAGCCCCCAGUGGGUGGUGAGACUGGUAUCUCAUGGUGGUUGUCAUCAGUCAGCGUGGGUUAGGAUAUGUCUUGCCAAGCCUUCCUGGAGAAGCACAGCUUAGUGAGACCUUAGGGAUCUUGCCUAAUAACAGCAGUUACCUAAUUAAAAAAAAAAAAAAUAAAGGAAAAAGAAAGCUGUCUCCAUAUUUUUGUGGUAGAUGAUAUCCAAAGGAUUACCACUGUGAGUGCAGAGGGAAGAUUAUAAACAUCAAACGAUAGAAAGUGCUUAUAUGUCUGCUGUUGGGUGCAAUUACUCAAGCUUGGAAAAGAUUAAGUAACUUUUAUUUAUACAUCUAAAAGAAGAAGCCAAGUUAAAGUACUUAUAUAGAUCAUCCUCAAAUGUGAAAGUGUGAGAUAAACAAUGCCAACAGCAGUGCAACAUAAAAUCAAGAUUUCAAGCCAAACAUCCAUGAAGGAAGAAGUAUUCCAUGGAAAAUAUCAUAUUCUUGCAGUCUUUCUGACCACAGAAUUACACUCAUUAUGGUAAAGCUAUAAUUGCAGCCUUGUGAAUACAGUGCUGUAGACAAUGGCUUGUCAGUGUUUUUCCACUAUAAACCCUCAUGUGAGGUUUGCAAUUUUAUGAAAUACAAUUAUCUUUGGCUGGGAUAUUCAGCUAUAUUCUCAUCCCAGAAAUUGACCUUUUUUGUGUGCAUAUUAGUUUCCUUUACCGAGUUGUUCAAAGUUCAUUGUUUGAUAAGUGUUUGAGCCUUUCUGAUUUCUUGGCUGCUUGUGCCUUAUCUGUACUGUGAGGAUGUAUGGGGAGUUUGCUGUCACUGGUAAUGCAUCAAUGCUUUGUAAUAUUUAGGGAUGUCAGGCUGUUGCAGAGUCCACACUUUGGACCAAACUGCCUACAUUUGUAGUGAUGUGGUUUGGGAAAGUCAGGACAGCAAGAUUAUAGCAAAUUAGCACUGACUAGCAUAACCAGGCAUGUACAGCAAAAUGUGCUUUAGGGAAUACUAGAGUAUAUUAUUACAGCUAUGGAAGGAAAGAGAAUUGGCUGGGCCAGCUAAAUGGAUAAAAUUGUAAAGAUCUGUCUGUCUUAAAGAAAAAGGAAAUUCUGAAUUGAUGUUUCAAAAAAAUCUUCUAAAACCUGUAGUGAACCCCUACAACGUGUAAAAACCACUUGUGCAAUUCUGAUUUUGAUUCUUUGUUUGGCUUAGCUAGGGGUUUUAUCUGUGAGAUAGUAGUAAUAGAAACCCAAAUCAGGCCAGUUCAUUUUUUUCACAGAUAACUCAAGUGGGAAAACACACUGCCAACAUUGAAUGCCGAUUCCCAGAUUGAAGUGUGUUUAGUUACAAAUCCUAACUAUAUAACACCUGCAUAUGAACUCCUAUAUAAAAUAGGACAUCUCAAAUAACACGUAAUAUCUUACUUAAAAAUAAUUAUUUUGAGACAAAUAUUACAUGCACUUAAGGGAUCUCACCUGAACAGUUCAAUUAACAUGAAUUAAUUCAGUGUCAAUCAAUGCUCUGGAAGAAAACCUGAAAUCCUUGUGCUACAGAGAUCUCUGGUUGCUUCAGCAACUUGUUACAUGUUGCGGGGGAAAACUGCUGAGUUCACAUAGCUAAAAUAAAUACAAAUCAAAGCAGUUUAUUGCUUAAUUGGCAGAGUGUAAUUAUACAGCAAUCAGUGAACUAUGGAAACGAGAUCAGUAAUACAAAUAGGCAAACAAUGCUAGCUAGAGCUUGUAAACAGUCUUCUAUUACUAAUCCCAGAAACACACAGGCACAUGUAUGCACAGAGUUGUAUGCACCCCCUCAACUCAUGGGCAGUAUGGGUUACAAAAACACCCCCCUUCCCAAAGAUUGCAGAUUUCCCUGUCUACAUGUCUCCUGUGGCAGAUGUGGAUCCUCUAUCUUUUUACAGAUCCCUGCAGUUCCCUACAAGUCAUGGGCUGAACCACACACCCCUGAGACAGUUGUUUCACUUCCAAGGUCUGUCCUGUUACAAGUUUUCACACUUCUUUUGUAUUUUUUUUUCAGUCUGGCUCUGGCUGUGUGUCAAGUUUUUUUGUAAUUCCCCAGUAACUGUUUAAUCUGGUUGAUGAUCAUCUGUAACAUGAUCAGUUUGGGCAAAUGUUGGCUGGGCAGGUGGAUGUGUUUCAUCUGCAGACACACACAGAUACUCAAUUCACACACAUCUUUAUCUUCAGGGAUGACAUUGUCUAUGCCUUUGUCGAGGGUGUGCUGUGUAUCCCUGCCACAUCUAUAGUGAGGGAGAGGCCUCCCUGGGAGAUGUGUGGCUCACAGGAGCAGCGAGAGCAAGGGGCAUGGCCGAGCUGCCUGCAGCCAUGUGGCCAAUGCAGCCAUGCAGUCACUGUUCAAACCAGAGUGACUUGUGUUCUGGAUGCAUCCCACUCAGUUGAUGGUAAUGAUAAGUGGGCAAGCAAAUCUAUUUCCAGACUCCCUUCAUGCUCCAAAAUCCAAAAAUAAAAUUAACAGUUGCUUUACUAAAUGUGUUUUGAAUUCCUAUUAUGAUUCUCAAUAAAGGGAUCAUAAAUGGGAUGGAAACAGCAAAUUGAAUCAUUGGAAAAGCUGCAGAGAGACCAUCUGGACCUGGAGAUUUAAUGGAUUGUAAAGAAUUUACAUUUCACACUCCCACAGUUCACAUUUUUUGAGGUGAUAAAGACAUUUGGAUAAUUUUAUUUUUUGGAUGUUUUACAUAAAAUGAAGAGCCAUGAUUGAAACUGGAACGGGAGUCAGGAGAUAACCAGAUUGUGUACAAUGUGGUAAAGUGCUAACAAAUACCCACGUGCUACAUGAUUAAUUUAGUAUAAAUGCCAGUUGUGGAUUUGAUUUGUCAGCAGUUGGCUCAGGUUUUGUGAUUACUGGCCAAUAAUUUAACUGAUGAUUUGAUCUAUAACAGAAUCCUCAACUUUUGGGAAUGAAAGAGAGUUGCAGGGAUAGUGAAAUGCAUUAACUAUACACAGAGCUGUUAGCUGCUAGAAUGGAUACUGAUACGUUCUGGUGUCUUCAUGCAGCUGAUGAAUAGCCUACAGUAUGAUUUAUAGUGGUAAUUCAGGACAGGGAAUAGAACCAAGUGACUGCUAUUGUUUCAAUAUGUCUUCAUGGAGUGUUUUUGAAUUGCAGAUACGGAGGCAAAGAACACUGGGUCCAUCUAUAAAUACAGCUGCAAAGUAUGGCACUGCUCUUGCCUUGGAGUCAAUCUCUAGUCUCUGUUCUUGGCAUAUCAGCACUGGACCAUAGGGAAGGGCCAUCUGUCAGAGUUCACUCUUGACAGAAGUGACCCCUUUAAAUCUUCGUAAGUUUGAGAAUUUUUCAGAAGAUGUGCUGUGUAAAUUACAAGUUACUGUUAUCGCUGGACCAAGCAGAAGCUUCCCUUAAAGCCUUAAGAUUUGACCAGACUAAAAUGGAAUUCAGAUCUGGUUUCUACUUUACAAAAAUCAAUCAAUGCUGUAUUACAUUGCUUUCCCAUUGUCCCUAUGGUGUAAAUGAUUUAGCAAAUGGAAAGGCCAGCUCUAUUCCAAAGAAAAGAUGUAUAAAUAUAUAAAGGCGCCUGCAGACUCCCUGUAUGUGCACAGCUAUAGCUGUUAACAGGAAAUAAUAAUGUACACUGCUUGUGGGAUCAAACUUUUGAUUACAUUAAGGAAUUAAUAAAGAUUUGUAAUGCUUAUUUUA